RNAcentral lists this non-coding RNA (628 nucleotides) under Pongo abelii (Sumatran orangutan). The record is from RNAcentral. Lineage: Eukaryota; Metazoa; Chordata; Mammalia; Primates; Hominidae.
AAGGAGAGUUCUCAUCGGUGCACGACAGACUGAAGACCACUGGAAGCCACCCGACCAGGAAUCUGUCGGAGCCAAAGCACAGGAGAAGGUCAGCAUGGGGCUGGGGGAGCCGGCCAGGCAGAUACCACAGUGACGGUGCUGGGCAGGGAGGGGACGCACCGCCACCGCCUAGCCCCAGUCUAGACGCCUGCGUCCCUCGCCACGCACAGGGAAGACGUGAAAAGCAGUUCCUGUCAACACAUUUCCAGAGUGUGCACAGUGUGAAAACUGCAGCGGGUCUCCCAGCGGCACGGACCCGACAGAAGCACAAGCCCCUGCUGGAAGGAGCCGCCGAGCGCGCGUGGCCACCGAGGAGAGAGCGCAGCGUGGACGCCGGCCAUGCACCGACGGCGGGGAGUGAGUGGGCUGCGGCUGGAGGAGUUAAUACAGACGAAGCUGCGUGGACAAGACGGCUGGGCAGAGACCAAGUGUGAAAAGAAACACAAAACAAGGACAGAGAUAAAUGAGACAGGAAGAGAGAGGCGACUAGAAAAGCCGGCAUGGCAGAGACCGCCAGGAUGUGGCGCAGCAAGAGCUUAGGAGCCCCCAACACCAAGCGUGGAGCCACUCAGCUGAGCAGGACACAGAC